AUACGUAGGUGGCAAGCGUUGUCCGGAAUUAUUGGGCGUAAAGCGCGCGCAGGCGGUCUUUUAAGUCUGAUGUGAAAGCCCACGGCUCAACCGUGGAGGGUCAUUGGAAACUGGGAGACUUGAGUGCAGAAGAGAAGAGCGGAAUUCCACGUGUAGCGGUGAAAUGCGUAGAGAUGUGGAGGAACACCAGUGGCGAAGGCGGCUCUUUGGUCUGUAACUGACGCUGAGGCGCGAAAGCGUGGGGAGCAAACAGGAUUAGAUACCCUGGUAGUCCACGCCGUAAACGAUGAGUGCUAAGUGUUAGAGGGUUUCCGCCCUUUAGUGCUGCAGUAAACGCAUUAAGCACUCCGCCUGGGGAGUACGGCCGCAAGGCUGAA
This 377-nucleotide ribosomal RNA is filed under the name uncultured bacterium. Its description in RNAcentral is "bacterial SSU rRNA". It matches the Rfam family "Bacterial small subunit ribosomal RNA", at positions 523 to 898 of the family's 1533-position model. The record is from RNAcentral.